GAUUUUAUAAAGAUGUUGUUUUGAAAGCAACUUGUAAGAAAUAGUUCUUUAAAGUCA
Molecule: transfer RNA, 57 nt
Filed under: Neoscona scylla
Lineage: Eukaryota; Metazoa; Arthropoda; Arachnida; Araneae; Araneidae
Description: tRNA-Ser
Source: RNAcentral